ACUCAUCAGAGGCUCCGUAAUUCGAAUGAGUACAAUUCAAAUCCUUUAACGAGGAUCCACUGGAGGGCAAGUCUGGUGCCAGCAGCCGCGGUAACUCCAGCUCCAGAAGCGUAUAUUAAAGUUGUUGCAGUUAAAAAGCUCGUAGUUGGAUCUGGGUCGCAUGGCUACAUGCCGUUGCUUGUAUUCCUGGCUUGGUUACGACUGGGUCGGGUUUGCGAGUCGGUGUCGUGGUUGUGCAGCCUUUCUGCCGUGUCUGUUUCGACAGGUGCUGACUGAAUCGGUGGGCUUGUCUCGCUGGUUUGUUGGCAUGCUUCCGGAUGCCUUUAAACGGGUGUCGGGGGCGGACGGCACGUUUACUUUGAACAAAUUUGAGUGCUCAAAGCAGGCCUGUGUGCCUGAAAAUUCUUGCAUGGAAUAAUGGAAUAGGACUUCGGUUCUAUUUUGUUGGUUUUCGGAUCCGAAGUAAUGGUUAAGAGGGACAGACGGGGGCAUUUGUAUGGCGGUGUUAGAGGUGAAAUUCUUGGAUCGCCGCCAGACAAACUACAGCGAAAGCAUUUGCCAAGGAUGUUUUCAUUGAUCUGGAGCGAAAGUCAGAGGUUCGAAGACGAUCAGAUACCGUCCUAGUUCUGACCAUAAACGAUGCCAACUGACGAUCCGUGGUGGUUCUUUUAUUGUCCCCGCGGGCAGUCCCCGGGAAACCUUUAAGUCUUUGGGCUCCGGGGGAAGUAUGGUUGCAAAGCUGAAACUUAAAGGAAUUGACGGAAGGGCACCACCAGGAGUGGAGCCUGCGGCUUAAUUCGACUCAACACGGGAAAACUCACCCGGCCCGGACACUGUGAGGAUUGACAGAUUGAUAGCUCUUUCUUGAUUCGGUGGUUGGUGGUGCAUGGCCGUUCUUAGUUGGUGGAGCGAUUUGUCUGGUUAAUUCCGAUAACGAACGAGACUUUGGCCUGCUAAAUAGUAUGCCUGUCCUCUGUGCUCGUGCGGGCGGCGGUGCUCUCUGCCUCUUCUGGGGUGGUGGUGUCGUUUGCCGGCGGGUGCUGCGCAGGUGUCUACUUCUUAGAGGGACAAGCGGCGCGACAGUCGCACGAAAAUGAGCAAUAACAGGUCUGUGAUGCCCUUAGAUGUCCGGGGCCGCACGUGCGCUACAAUGACGGUUUCAGCGAGUUUGGAAUCCUGGCCCGAAAGGGUUGGGCAAACUGAAUCAUAACCGUCGUGACUGGGAUCGGGGUUUGCAAUUAUCCCCCGUGAACGAGGAAUUCCUGGUAAGUGCAAGUCAUAAGCUUGCGCUGAUUACGUCCCUGCCCUUUGUACACACCGCCCGUCGCUACUACCGAUUGAAUGGUUUAGCAAGGUCCUCGGAUUGGUGCCAGCGUAG
This 1378-nucleotide ribosomal RNA is filed under the name Campula oblonga. RNAcentral's name for it is "SSU rRNA". It matches the Rfam family "Eukaryotic small subunit ribosomal RNA", at positions 490 to 1729 of the family's 1831-position model. Lineage: Eukaryota; Metazoa; Platyhelminthes; Trematoda; Plagiorchiida; Brachycladiidae. The record is from RNAcentral.